AUUGAACGCUGGCGGCAUGCCUUACACAUGCAAGUCGAAACGGCAGCACGGGAGCAAUCCUGGUGGCGAGUGGCGAACGGGUGAGUAAUAUAUCGGAACGUGCCCAGUCGUGGGGAUAACGUAGCGAAAGCUACGCUAAUACCGCAUACGAUCUACGGAUGAAAGCGGGGGAUCGCAAGACCUCGCGCGAUUGGAGCGGCCGAUAUCAGAUUAGGUAGUUGGUGAGGUAAAGGCUCACCAAGCCGACGAUCUGUAGCUGGUCUGAGAGGACGACCAGCCACACUGGGACUGAGACACGGCCCAGACUCCUACGGGAGGCAGCAGUGGGGAAUUUUGGACAAGUGGGCGCAAGCCUGAUCCAGCGAAUGCCGCGUGCAGGAUGAAGGCCCUUCGGGUUGGUAAACCGUUAGUACGUUUUCGUUUAACGGGUAACCGGUAAAACGGGUACGGUAAGGG
RNAcentral lists this ribosomal RNA (456 nucleotides) under uncultured bacterium. RNAcentral describes it as "bacterial SSU rRNA". It matches the Rfam family "Bacterial small subunit ribosomal RNA", at positions 30 to 503 of the family's 1533-position model. The record is from RNAcentral.